Gossypium hirsutum (cotton) is the source of this 87-nucleotide non-coding RNA. The record is from Rfam. Lineage: Eukaryota; Viridiplantae; Streptophyta; Magnoliopsida; Malvales; Malvaceae.
CACGUCAGCGCGCUUUGCUGACGUGGCAACAAAGCGCGGCUCUAAGGGAGCGAUUUGUUGCCACGUCAGCAAAGCGCGCUGACGUGG